GUUAGAUAAAUUUUUUAUAUUUUAAUGAAAUUUAUUAUAAAUUUAUUUUACAUAUAAAUUUUAGUGUAAAAUUUUAAUUAUUUUAAUAAUGGUUAAUUUAUAUUUAUAGUAAUUAAAAUUAAAAAUUUAAGAAAUUAAGAUUUAGUAAUAUAAAAAUUAAUAACUAAUUUUGUGCCAGCAGUUGCGGUUAAACAAAAGUUAAAUUAAAUUAUUUCAGUAUAUAAUUAAUAAUAUAAAAAUUAAAAUAAAUAUUAAAUUAUAAGGUGAAAUUUUAAUUUAAUUAAAUUUUAUAUAAAAAUUAUGAUUUAAUAAACUUUAAUAUAAACUAGGAUUAGAUACCCUAUUAUUAAAAAUUUAAUUUAAAAUACUAAAAUAGUAAAUAAUAUAUUAUUGAAACUUAAAUAAUAUGGCGGUAUUUUAGUUCAUUUAGAGGAAUCUGUCUAAUAAUUGAUAAUCCACGAAUAAAUUUACUUAAUUUAAUAUUUUGUAUAUCAUUGUUAAAAAAAUAUUUUUUAAUAAUAAUAAUAUUUAAAAAUUUAAAAUAUAAAUUAAUUCAGAUCAAGAUGCAGAUUAUAAUUAAGUUUAAGAUGGAUUACAAUAAAAUUAUUUAAAUGGAAAAAAUUUUGUAAUAUUUAAUUGAAAGUGGAUUUAAAUGUAAUUUUAAUUAAUUUAUUAAAAUGAUUUAAAAUUAAAAUAUGUACAUAUUGCCCGUCACUUUCAUUUAAAAGUUGAAAUAAGUCGUAACAAAGUAGAGGUACUGGAAAGUGUUUCUAGAAUGAA
Molecule: non-coding RNA, 780 nt
Filed under: Neptis philyra
Lineage: Eukaryota; Metazoa; Arthropoda; Insecta; Lepidoptera; Nymphalidae
Source: RNAcentral